This 86-nucleotide non-coding RNA is filed under the name Methylomicrobium album BG8. Lineage: Bacteria; Pseudomonadati; Pseudomonadota; Gammaproteobacteria; Methylococcales; Methylococcaceae. The record is from RNAcentral.
CGUUAUGACGGGCUGGCUUGGGCCGCCUUCGGGCGGGCCGCUUCUUUGUGGGCGGUUGUGGUAACCCGAGUCAGUCCGUCACCUAU